Molecule: non-coding RNA, 110 nt
Organism: Flavobacteriaceae bacterium TMED42
Lineage: Bacteria; Pseudomonadati; Bacteroidota; Flavobacteriia; Flavobacteriales; Flavobacteriaceae
Source: Rfam
UAAGGUGGUUAUAGCGAUGGGGCUCACCUCUUCCCUUUCCGAACAGAGAAGUUAAGCCCAUCAGCGCAGAUGGUACUGCCACUUGGUGGGAGAGUAUGUCACUGCCUUCU